GGAAUAUAAAAAACCGUCUCUUAACUUUUAAUUUAAAAAAGUUAAGAUCCGGUUCUUAAAUAAGAUAUUUAAGAGGCGGUUCUUAGCUUUUUUAUUUAAACGUUAAGAGACGGUCUCUUAUAUUCC
Molecule: microRNA precursor, 126 nt
Organism: Brassica oleracea var. oleracea
Lineage: Eukaryota; Viridiplantae; Streptophyta; Magnoliopsida; Brassicales; Brassicaceae
Rfam family: MIR9563 microRNA precursor family
Source: Rfam